GCCCCCAUCGUCUAGAGGCCUAGGACAUUUCCUUUUCACGGAAACAACGGGGAUUCGAAUUCCCCUGGGGGUA
RNAcentral lists this transfer RNA (73 nucleotides) under Trachelomonas grandis. RNAcentral describes it as "tRNA-Glu". It matches the Rfam family "tRNA". From Rfam's summary of the family: Transfer RNA (tRNA) molecules are approximately 80 nucleotides in length. The record is from RNAcentral. Lineage: Eukaryota; Euglenozoa; Euglenophyceae; Euglenales; Euglenaceae.